This 1464-nucleotide long non-coding RNA is filed under the name Parus major (Great Tit). Its description in RNAcentral is "lncRNA (ENSPMJG00000018864.1)". The record is from RNAcentral. Lineage: Eukaryota; Metazoa; Chordata; Aves; Passeriformes; Paridae.
UCAGCAGCAGCAGCAAAGGCAGCUAAGUACGGUACGUGCUGUGUGGGGCCCAUGGUCACUGCCCUGCAAAACCUGGUGGGAUGGUGAAACACAUCCCACAGUUUCUAUCCAGACACAGAACUGAUCCCUGUCCUGCCUCGCUCGGGCCUCUCCUGACGUGGCUGUGGAUGCUCCGCUCUUUGGGCCACAAUGAAAAGACAGAGCUGGAAGAGGCCCAACCUUUCACUGUUGCUGCAGUGAGAUCUGACUUCUCCCAUCUCCUCCCUGCAGGAGCUGGUGUUCCUGGCAUCGCUGGCGUUCCUGGCAUUGCCGGUGUUCCUGGAGUUCCUGGUGUUCCUGGUGUUCCUGGUGUUCCUGGAGUUCCCGGUGUUCCUGGUGUUCCUGGCGCUGUGCCCGGUGUUGGAGUGGGUGGCCCGGCAGCGGCGGCUGCAGCCAAGGCUGCGGCAAAAGCAGCGGCGAUCGGAGCAGGACGCGUGCCCGGCGUUGGCGUGCCCGGCGUUGGCGUGCCCGGCGUUGGCGUUCCCGGAGUGCGUGUGCCUGGAGUGGGUGUGCCUGGAGUGGGUGUGCCUGGUGCUGGCGUGCCCGGUUUGGUGCCCGGGGUCGGUGUUCCAGGAGGUCCGGCAGCCGCUGCCAAAGCCGCCGCCAAAGCAGCCAAGUACGGAGCAGGUGGCCUGGCUCCCGGCGUGGGUGGCCUGGCUCCCGGCGUGGGUGGCCUGGUUCCUGGAGUAGGUGGCCUGGUUCCUGGAGUAGGUGGCCUGGUUCCCGGUGUUGGAGGUGUCCCAGGUGUUGGAGGUCCAGCAGCAGCAGCCAAAGCAGCAGCCAAGGCAGCCAAAUUUGGUGCUGGGGCUGGAGGGGUGCCCGGUGUGGGCGGAGUGCCCGGAGUGACCCCCGGCGUUGGUGGCGUGCCCGGCUUGGUGCCAGGGGUGGGAGUACCUGGAACUGGCAUCCUUCCCGGGGCAGGCAUCCCCCAAGUAGGGGUGCAGCCCGGUGCUAAACCUCCCAAAUUCGGUGUUCCUGGGGUUGGAGUCCCAGGAGUUGGUGGCCUCCCAGGUGGCCUAGGAGUCGGUGGGCUCGGAGCUGGUGGCCUCGGUGGGGUCGGCGGCCUGGGAUUUGGCGGGAAGCCCCCCAAGCCCUACGGAGGAGCCCUGGGUGCCCUGGGCUUUAGAGGCGGAGCGGGCUGUGCGGCAGGGAAGUACUGCGGCAGGAAGCGGAAGUAACGCUCCGUCACCGAUCACCUCAUGAACUUUGGUGCUACUGCAUGGUCCAGAAUGUAAAUCCGAAGCAAAGCUGAGACACCCCCUCCUCAGGCCCCGGAACCCCCCCCCGUCCAUGCCGGGGCCGUGCCCGGCCCCGCGUUCCACGGAGGGACCCCGCGUUCCCCGGCAGCGUCCGGGGCCCCCCGGCCCUCGGUCCCGGCAGGGAGCGCGGAAUAAAGUGCGGGGAGCAGCCGUCCCCCUUGGUGCU